Molecule: non-coding RNA, 100 nt
Organism: Acanthosepion pharaonis
Lineage: Eukaryota; Metazoa; Mollusca; Cephalopoda; Sepiida; Sepiidae
Source: the annotation of a GenBank genome assembly
ACCUUUGAAGCACCGGUUAUCGCAUGAUUACUGAAGUUAAGCAAGCUUGAGCCUGGUCAGUACCUAGAUAGGUGACCGCCUGGGAAUACCAGGUGCUGUC